RNAcentral lists this ribosomal RNA (253 nucleotides) under uncultured bacterium. Its description in RNAcentral is "partial 16S ribosomal RNA". It matches the Rfam family "Bacterial small subunit ribosomal RNA", at positions 524 to 776 of the family's 1533-position model. The record is from RNAcentral.
CACGAAGGGGGCUAGCGUUGCUCGGAAUCACUGGGCGUAAAGGGUGCGUAGGCGGGUUUUUAAGUCAGGGGUGAAAUCCUGGAGCUCAACUCCAGAACUGCCUUUGAUACUGAAGAUCUUGAGUCCGGGAGAGGUGAGUGGAACUGCGAGUGUAGAGGUGAAAUUCGUAGAUAUUCGCAAGAACACCAGUGGCGAAGGCGGCUCACUGGCCCGGUACUGACGCUGAGGAGCGAAAGCGUGGGGAGCAAACAGG